This 402-nucleotide ribosomal RNA is filed under the name uncultured bacterium. RNAcentral's name for it is "partial 16S ribosomal RNA". It matches the Rfam family "Bacterial small subunit ribosomal RNA", at positions 30 to 526 of the family's 1533-position model. The record is from RNAcentral.
AUUGAACGCUAGCGGCGUGCCUAAUACAUGCAAGUCGAACGCAGUGGGGACGGGGGAGUAACACGUGGGUAACCUCCCAUCAGAGGGGAUAACACUUGGAAACAGGUGCUAAACCGCUACUGAUGGAUGGACCCGCGGUGCAUUAGCUAGUUGGUGAGGUAACGGCUCACCAAGGCCACGAUGCAUAGCAGACCUGGGAGGGUGAUCGGCCACACUGUGACGGCAACACGGCCCAGACUCCGACGUGAGGCAGGAGGAGGGAAUCUUCGGCAAUGGACGAAAGGCUGACAGAGCAACGCCGAGUGAGUGAAGAAGGUUUUCGGAUCGUAAAACUCUGUUGUUAGAGAAGCGGUAUCUAACCAGAAAGCCACGGCUAACUACGUGCCAGCAGCCGCGUAAUAC